Molecule: ribosomal RNA, 514 nt
Filed under: uncultured Bacilli bacterium
Lineage: Bacteria; Bacillati; Bacillota; Bacilli
Description: bacterial SSU rRNA
Rfam family: Bacterial small subunit ribosomal RNA
Source: RNAcentral
CGGCGUAUUAGCUAGUUGGUGAGGUAACGGCUCACCAAGGCAAUGAUACGUAGCCGAACUGAGAGGUUGAUCGGCCACAUUGGGACUGAGACACGGCCCAAACUCCUACGGGAGGCAGCAGUAGGGAAUCUUCCACAAUGGACGCAAGUCUGAUGGAGCAACGCCGCGUGAGUGAAGAAGGCUUUCGGGUCGUAAAACUCUGUUGUUGGAGAAGAAUGGUCGGCAGAGUAACUGUUGUCGGCGUGACGGUAUCCAACCAGAAAGCCACGGCUAACUACGUGCCAGCAGCCGCGGUAAUACGUAGGUGGCAAGCGUUAUCCGGAUUUAUUGGGCGUAAAGCGAGCGCAGGCGGUUUUUUAAGUCUGAUGUGAAAGCCAUCGGCUUAACCGAGGAAGUGCAUCGGAAACUGGGAAACUUGAGUGCAGAAGAGGACAGUGGAACUCCAUGUGUAGCGGUGAAAUGCGUAGAUAUAUGGAAGAACACCAGUGGCGAAGGCGGCUGUCUGGUCUGUAAC